This 253-nucleotide ribosomal RNA is filed under the name uncultured bacterium. Its description in RNAcentral is "partial 16S ribosomal RNA". It matches the Rfam family "Bacterial small subunit ribosomal RNA", at positions 524 to 776 of the family's 1533-position model. The record is from RNAcentral.
UACGUAGGCAGCAAGCGUUGUUCGGAGUUACUGGGCGUAAAGGGUGUGUAGGCGGUUAUUUAAGUUUGCUGUGAAAUCUCCCGGCUUAACCGGGAGGGUGCGGUGAAUACUGAGGGACUAGAGUACGGGAGAGGAAAGUGGAAUUCCUGGUGUAGCGGUGAAAUGCGUAGAUAUCAGGAGGAACACCGGUGGUGUAGACGGCUUUCUGGACCGACACUGACGCUGAGACACGAAAGCGUGGGUAGCAAACAGG